CGAGCACGCGCGUGUGGCAUAUCAAUAAGCGGAGGAAAAGAAACUAACUAGGAUUCCCUUAGUAACGGCGAGUGAAGCGGGAAGAGCUCAAAUUUGAAAUCUUCAAGGUUCUACCUUGACGAAUUGUAGUUUAUAGAAGUGUUUUCUGUUAGUAGAGUGGCAAAAGUUCUUUGGAAUAGGACAUCAUAGAGGGUGAGAAUCCCGUAUUUGGUCAUUCCUCCUAGCGUUGUGAUACACUUUCAACGAGUCGGAUUGUUUGGGAAUGCAGUCCAAAAUGGGUGGUAAAUUUCAUCUAAAGCUAAAUAUUGGCGAGAGACCGAUAGCGAACAAGUACCGUGAGGGAAAGAUGAAAAGAACUUUGAAAAGAGAGUUGAACAGUACGUGAAAUUGUCAAAAGGGAAGCGUUUGACACCAGUGUUGUUUUUCCGAAAAUCAAUUACGAAUGUUUUAUUUUUGAGGAGUUAUGACUUCAUCGGCUUGCUCCUUUCUUUAUGAAACUUUCUUAAUGCACUUUUCGGUUAACAAGUCAACAUCAAUUUCUUUUGUUGUAAAAGGGUACUGAGGAAGGUGGCUUUCUUUUCGGAGAAAGUGUUUAUAGCCUUGUGCCUCUGCAAUCGGAGAGAUUGAGGUCUGCAGCGUAGAUCCUUCGGGGUUAGAUACGUUUGUGCUAAGUUAUAGCUUUUCAUAGACAACUUGUUGACUAUGUUUAGUCUUGUAGCUUACUCGCUUAUGCUAUUUUACCUACGCUUAGGAUGUUGAGCGCAUGUCUCUCUCU
Molecule: ribosomal RNA, 775 nt
Filed under: uncultured Neocallimastigales
Lineage: Eukaryota; Fungi; Neocallimastigomycota; Neocallimastigomycetes; Neocallimastigales
Description: partial large subunit ribosomal RNA
Rfam family: Eukaryotic large subunit ribosomal RNA
Source: RNAcentral